CCUACGGGAGGCUGCAGUGGGGAAUAUUGGACAAUGGGCGAAAGCCUGAUCCAGCCAUGCCGCGUGUGUGAAGAAGGCCUUCGGGUUGUAAAGCACUUUCAGUGGGGAAGAAAGCCUUGGGGCUAAUACCCUCGAGGAAGGACAUCACCCACAGAAGAAGCACCGGCUAACUCCGUGCCAGCAGCCGCGGUAAUACGGAGGGUGCGAGCGUUAAUCGGAAUUACUGGGCGGAAAGCGCGCGUAGGCGGUCUGAUAAGCCGGUUGUGAAAGCCCCGGGCUCAACCUGGGAACGGCAUCCGGAACUGUCAGGCUAGAGUGCAGGAGAGGAAGGUAGAAUUCCCGGUGUAGCGGUGAAAUGCGUAGAGAUCGGGAGGAAUACCAGUGGCGAAGGCGGUCUUCUGGACUGACACUGACGCUGAGGUGCGAAAGCGUGGGUAGCAAACAGGAUUAGAUACCCGUGUAGUC
This 465-nucleotide ribosomal RNA is filed under the name Vreelandella stevensii. Its description in RNAcentral is "partial 16S ribosomal RNA". It matches the Rfam family "Bacterial small subunit ribosomal RNA", at positions 338 to 795 of the family's 1533-position model. The record is from RNAcentral. Lineage: Bacteria; Pseudomonadati; Pseudomonadota; Gammaproteobacteria; Oceanospirillales; Halomonadaceae.